UUAUUACUCCCUCUGUCCCAAAAUACUUGUCGGAGAAAUGAAUAAAAAUAGAUGUAUGUAAAACUAAAAUAUAUCUACAUACAUCCAUUUCUCCGACAAGUAUUUCCGGACGGAUGGAGUAAUUU
This is a non-coding RNA of Triticum aestivum (bread wheat), 125 nucleotides long. The record is from Rfam. NCBI's taxonomy places the organism in Eukaryota, Viridiplantae, Streptophyta, Magnoliopsida, Poales, Poaceae.